RNAcentral lists this ribosomal RNA (119 nucleotides) under Pteropus alecto (black flying fox). The record is from RNAcentral. Lineage: Eukaryota; Metazoa; Chordata; Mammalia; Chiroptera; Pteropodidae.
GUCUAUGGCCAUGCCACCCUGAAUGUGUCUGAUCUCUUCUGAUCUCGGAUGGUAAGCAGGGUUGGGUCUGGUUAACACUUGAAUGGGAGACCACCUUGGAAUACCAGAUGCUGUAUAUG